Molecule: long non-coding RNA, 2375 nt
Organism: Gorilla gorilla gorilla (western lowland gorilla)
Lineage: Eukaryota; Metazoa; Chordata; Mammalia; Primates; Hominidae
Exons: 5
Source: RefSeq, a predicted model, not a curated record
CGCAAGGGGAAAAGACCCCGGAAGUAUGCAAAUGUAUAAAACCUCAGGUUAAAAGGUCAAAACCAGUACUUGUCCUUCAAGUCGCCCGCUUGGCCCUCUUCCAGUUAAGGUGGCAGGAAUGGAAUCUUGGAUUCACCACAGCGGAGUUACAUUUUGGACACCCCCUGAGGAACCUAUGGGACCAUCAGCUCAGGAGUCCCAAGAUCAGCCAGACCAGCCUCGAUACACCUGCGAACAGUUGGAAGACUUGCAUCUCCUAUGUGGGAAGGAAACAUCCCAGACUAAAAAGGCUCCUACCAAUGAUCCUGAAGAAAAACCCCUUCCUCCUUAAAAAAGAUAAGUGAAAACCACAUAAUCUUUAACACCUCUCCUUACCCCUUUAAUGGAAUCGUUUUACUAUUUCAUUGUAUUAUUAAGCAGCAUACUAACCAUACUCUUUGUGAUAGGGCUAUAAACUGUAGCUCCUGCUGGGUCGAAUAUCCUAAUCACAUCAACCUUCUUUCUAUCUUCCUUCCUUCUGACAGCAAUUUACUCCUACCUUUAACUCAGCCUGGAUAAAAUGAUCUCGUGUUCCAGAGCACCUCUUUACCUUCCUAUUUACUCUUUGCCUAUCUAUCCCUCCUGCUUCCUUGGAUACGUCAUACAAUCACCUAUCCCCUUCCACUAGCUCCUAAUUACCUCUACAAGACUCUCAACUUAACCCACUCUCUGUUAAACCAGUCCAAUCCUUCCCUGGCAAAUGACCGUUGGCUUUGUAUCUCUCUAUCAACCUCGGCUUACGCUGCCACUCCCAUUCCCACAAAAAAUUGGGUCUUUACCAACUUAACCUACCACCCUCAUUAUGAAGGGAAAGCCCCUUUCUGACUUCUAAAUAUGCAAUCAUUAGCCGACUUCCCCAUCUCUGACAGGACCAAGAAUACCCUAACAGGACCAGGACGUGCAAUCCAACUUUCACGUUCUUACAUUUCCAACCUCACCUAUUACACAAGCAAUGAAAAGCCCAUACAUGGUCCUGUAACUACGAAUAUCAUCUUAACUUUCCCAGCCCCUUUAUGCAUUCAAUGCAACCUGUUAUCAGGGCUGCUUCUGGGGCACCUACUACCGCAUCAGUGUAAUUAUACCCUACAACUUCAAGCCCCAACUGAUCAUAGUAACUUCCGAGUCACACAAGUAGCUCCAUUCAGACGGCUUCUCAGGGCCCCUCAAAAUCAUUACCUCCUCCCUGCUUAACAAACAGUCCAAGUUUUGUAAUGGCAAACAUACUCCCUGCAUGACCAUUCACCCCUGUAUUCCCUGCGUGAACCCCCACCACUAGUGAAUGCCUUCUCAUCCCUAUUUCAAUCACUCUCUCGAAUGGUUCCUAGUAGAUACAAAAUGAUUUUUUCUCCAGUGGGAAAAUAGAACACAGGGAGCCACUCAGUUUGCUUCCAACACCCCUUUCCAGCCACUCACUGGAGCUACCUUGUCAAGUACUCUAGAAGUAUGGGAAAAUGAAAAUAACAAACUCUUACACCAAACUCUGGAGUUGGGCAACAUGGCUUCUCCCCUUUCUAGGUCCCGUGGCAGCCAUCUUGCUAUUACUCACCUUCAGGCCCUAUAUUUUUAACCUCCUUGUUAAAUUUGUUUCCUCUAGAUUCGAGGCCGUCAAGCUACAGAUGGUCUUACAAAUAGAACACCAAAUGCGCUCAACUAACAACUUCUACCGUGGUCCCCCGGACUGACCCACUGGCCCUUUCACUGGCCUAAAGAGUUCCCCUCUGGAGGACACUACAACUGCAGGGCCCCUUCUUCACCCCAUCCAGUGGAAGUAGCUAGAGUGAUCAUAUGAAGUGUGCGUAUGGUACCUAUUGGAGCUAUCUUGAGCCCAUAUAAAGAGUAAGCUUUAGAAUGAUGGUGACUCACAGAGAAAGGGUUUUGAUGUUCAACGUUUCAUGCAAGUUCAAAAAACUUGAUUCUGGUAGCAAAAUUAUAGCAGGAAGAGGAAGCAGGACACCAGAGGCUUUUCUUUUCAUGGUGAGUGUCAAACUGAAGCAUACCCAUCCGUACUUUUUAAUGGAAUGAACAAGCUGUGCUCUCUAAAAACCAGAAUAACUAUUAAUAUCAUCAUCAGCUAUGGAAAUACAGUGGCAGAAUGUCUUAUGUCCCUAGCAACAAUCCUUUUUCUCCUCAGAACUCACCUUGCUUACAUCAUUUCUCACCUUAAGAAAUCAAUUAAUUCGAAGACUUCCUCCACCUAUCCCACUCUAAGACUUAAGAGUCUAAGAGAUAAACAAUACAAUUUGUUCUCUCAUUUUCUCUACAGAGACCUCCUAUUCAGAAUUGGGUUUGGGCUCUGCCUUGCCUCAGGAAGUUAAUAAAAUUCACUUUUCAUGUAA